Molecule: ribosomal RNA, 497 nt
Filed under: uncultured bacterium
Lineage: Bacteria
Description: partial 16S ribosomal RNA
Rfam family: Bacterial small subunit ribosomal RNA
Source: RNAcentral
GAUGAACGCUGGCGGCGUGCCUAAUACAUGCAAGUCGAGCGAACAGAUGAGGAGCUUGCUCCUCUGACGUUAGCGGCGGACGGGUGAGUAACACGUGGAUAACCUACCUAUAAGACUGGGAUAACUUCGGGAAACCGGAGCUAAUACCGGAUAAUAUAUUGAACCGCAUGGUUCAAUAGUGAAAGACGGUCUUGCUGUCACUUAUAGAUGGAUCCGCGCCGCAUUAGCUAGUUGGUAAGGUAACGGCUUACCAAGGCAACGAUGCAUAGCCGACCUGAGAGGGUGAUCGGCCACACUGGAACUGAGACACGGUCCAGACUCCUACGGGAGGCAGCAGUAGGGAAUCUUCCGCAAAGGGCGAAAGCCUGACGGAGCAACGCCGCGUGAGUGAUGAAGGUCUUCGGAUCGUAAAACUCUGUUAUUAGGGAAGAACAAAUGUGUAAGUAACUAUGCACGUCUUGACGGUACCUAAUCAGAAAGCCACGGCUAACUACGUG